Acanthaster planci (crown-of-thorns starfish) is the source of this 714-nucleotide long non-coding RNA. RefSeq lists it as uncharacterized. Lineage: Eukaryota; Metazoa; Echinodermata; Asteroidea; Valvatida; Acanthasteridae. The record is from RefSeq and is a predicted model, not a curated record.
GCCAAGAAUAAGCAGGGAGAGGCUCUUAUCAUAAGAAUGUGGCACAAAAAUGCUUGGAAAAAGGGACAAAUAUCUUGCCAAGUUCAAAUGAAGUGAUAAAAGGGUGAACUUAUCUUGGGAUUGAUGACAUAGGUCAAGUCAUUGCCAAUGCGACCCCUUUACCCACUCCCAUUUGCCCGAAAGAGCAACCAGAGAUUUGGGAUCAGCGGGCAAUGCUUACUGAAGUUCAUUUGCAACAGUAGAUCAGAAUCUGCAUAUCUCCUAACUCAAACUACAAAUGGUCUCUCUUCAUAUGACCAACAUAAUCAACAUGGCUACUGAAGACAGCUGUUGCCUCACUCCCCUUCCUGAAUCUAAAUCUAAAAACCUUUCUGUUGUUGGAUUUAAGCCAUGUGAUGGUGUAAGAUUUUUAUGUGGGAAGAACACAGAACAUGCACACACACUACCUCAAGAUUGAUAAGUUUUCAAUACAAGGAUGUACAAAAUAUCUUCUAUGAUUUAAAAAGAAAACAUUGUCGCUAUUUUCUACAUGACUGAAAAUCAAUCCUCUGAACAUUCACUUUUGCGAAUGACCCAAUCAUCUUUUAGGGUCACAUUAUACAGUAGCAGCAGGCCUAUGGCAUGAUGUUUGCUCUCUAUACAAAGAAUUUUUAUGCAGGUAGUUAUUACUCAUUAUUAUUAUUAUGUAGUAAAGGUACAAACAAGAAUACUGUC